Molecule: ribosomal RNA, 374 nt
Filed under: uncultured organism
Description: partial 16S ribosomal RNA
Rfam family: Bacterial small subunit ribosomal RNA
Source: RNAcentral
GUAGGUGGCAAGCGUUGUCCGGAAUUAUUGGGCGUAAAGCGCGCGCAGGUGGUUCUUUAAGUCUGAUGUGAAAGCCCCCGGCUCAACCGGGGAGGGUCAUUGGAAACUGGGGAACUUGAGUGCAGGAGAGGAAAGUGGAAUUCCACGUGUAGCGGUGAAAUGCGUAGAUAUGUGGAGGAACACCAGUGGCGAAGGCGACUUUCUGGCCUGUAACUGACACUGAGGCGCGAAAGCGUGGGGAGCAAACAGGGAUUAGAUACCCUGGUAGUCCACGCCGUAAACGAUGAGUGCUAAGUGUUGGGGGGGUUUCCCGCCCCUCAGUGCUGCAGCUAACGCAUUAAGCACUCCGCCUGGGGAUACGGUCGCAAAGACUG